AACGAACGCUGGCGGCAUGCCUAACACAUGCAAGUCGAACGAGACCUUCGGGUCUAGUGGCGCACGGGUGCGUAACGCGUGGGAACCUGCCCUUAGGUUCGGAAUAACUCCCCGAAAGGGGUGCUAAUACCGGAUAAUGUCUUCGGACCAAAGAUUUAUCGCCUUUGGAUGGGCCCGCGUUGGAUUAGCUAGUUGGUAGGGUAAAAGCCUACCAAGGCGACGAUCCAUAGCUGGUCUGAGAGGAUGAUCAGCCACACUGGGACUGAGACACGGCCCAGACGCCGACGGGAGGCAGCAGUGGGGAAUAUUGGACAAUGGGCGAAAGCCUGAUCCAGCAAUGCCGCGUGAGUGAUGAAGGCCUUAGGGUUGUAAAGCUCUUUUACCCGGGAUGAUAAUGACAGUACCGGGAGAAUAAGCGCCGGCUAACUCCGUG
Molecule: ribosomal RNA, 433 nt
Filed under: uncultured bacterium
Lineage: Bacteria
Description: partial 16S ribosomal RNA
Rfam family: Bacterial small subunit ribosomal RNA
Source: RNAcentral